Non-coding RNA from Gossypium hirsutum (cotton), 98 nucleotides. Lineage: Eukaryota; Viridiplantae; Streptophyta; Magnoliopsida; Malvales; Malvaceae. The record is from Rfam.
UGUCGUCGAUGAUGAUGAAUGUCUAAUCCCAGCUCUAUGAGACCUUUUGAAAAGGUCUGGGAAUUGAAUCAUAAUCCAACAUUUAUCUGAGCCCUCUU